This 73-nucleotide microRNA precursor is filed under the name Notamacropus eugenii (tammar wallaby). RNAcentral describes it as "miRNA (ENSMEUG00000017753.1)". Lineage: Eukaryota; Metazoa; Chordata; Mammalia; Diprotodontia; Macropodidae. The record is from RNAcentral.
UUGAGGGGAAUCUGGGACAGCUCAGGCAAGUCCUUGCCUUUUCUCUGCCAUCUUGGCUCUGUUCCCUAUAUGC